Molecule: non-coding RNA, 27 nt
Filed under: Rattus norvegicus (Norway rat)
Lineage: Eukaryota; Metazoa; Chordata; Mammalia; Rodentia; Muridae
Source: RNAcentral
UCCAGAAUGAGAGCUAGCAAGGAAAAC